AUUGGUUUGUUAUUGUUAGUGGGCCGGGUUGUGAAAGGCAAACCCAAUCUAUUUCUCCAUCAUCUCUAACCUAAGGGACGGUUGGAAACUUAACACAGGAGGCCAUAAACAACCGUAAAGAAGGCAUAUGGUCAUGUCAUGUUGAAAGGGUAGAACAGAUAAUUCAAAUUGAUUUGUGGGAGAAUCGAUUUCACUCAGACGCAGAAACUAGGAAUAGCAGCUUCCAGUAAAAUCGCAUUUGCUU
This 244-nucleotide long non-coding RNA is filed under the name Trifolium pratense (red clover). Its description in RNAcentral is "long non-coding RNA (TPRA_LNC000281)". Lineage: Eukaryota; Viridiplantae; Streptophyta; Magnoliopsida; Fabales; Fabaceae. The record is from RNAcentral.